GGAUUCCAUUAGUAACGGCGAGUGAACAUGGAAGAGCCCAGCACCGAAGCCUAUAGGCGUUUGUCUACAAGGCAAUGUGGUGUUUAGGUGUCUGCCUGGGGUGGUCAGUCUAUUCGAAGUCCAGCAUAGAUUAUGGCUCUGGAUUUGGUCCAUAGCGGGUGAAAGACCCGUACGGAUAGACUGUUAGUCAUGUUGACCGCCCUCAGAUGCAUUCACCUUGGAGUCGGAUAGCUUGAGAAUGCUGUCCAAAGUGGGUGGUAAACUCCAUCCAAGGCUAAAUACCUGCACGAGUCCGAUAGCGAACAAGUACCGUGAGGGAAAGUUGAAAAGCACUCUGAAGAGAGAGUAAAUAGUACGUGAAACCGCCUGUAUGGAAGCUGGUGGAGUCAAGCUGCAUGCCCGUGGAAUUAAGCCAGUGAUUGUUGUGUGUUCGUGGAGCUGGCCGGGUGGUGGCCUUGAAAGUAGGCCGGGGGAUCUGAUCCCCUCCCCUAGCGCACUGGUCAGUGCGUCGGGACCCGCUCGGUUUAUGUUCCUUUCGCUGGUGCACUUUCUGCGUGGCAGACAUCACGAUCGAAGUUGCCGUUGGCACGUGGUAAUCAAACCAUCAGGUGUUGGGUCCUGUAUCCACGUCUGGUGGGAUGGCAGGUGGCUGUGUUAGGUUGGUUCGCCUUCCUUUCGAGUUUUUUGUGGUUGUGGCCGGCCGGUUACCAUUGUUAUGCAUUCAGCUAUGCGGUACUUCGUUGCUCAUGUAUGGCCCGGGUCGUUGCGGGGCUGUGUAUGGCGCUUGUCAGGUUGUUUCUGCUUGCAGUUCGGCUUGGUGAGCAUUGUGCGCAGUUCUUGUGAUUGCUUGGCUUAUGAAUCGUGGUGUAGUGGUAGAC
RNAcentral lists this ribosomal RNA (878 nucleotides) under Diplectanum veropolynemi. RNAcentral's name for it is "eukaryotic LSU rRNA". It matches the Rfam family "Eukaryotic large subunit ribosomal RNA", at positions 72 to 634 of the family's 3401-position model. Lineage: Eukaryota; Metazoa; Platyhelminthes; Monogenea; Dactylogyridea; Diplectanidae. The record is from RNAcentral.